CGAACUUUUGGGAGCUUGCUCCCAAAAGUUAGCGGCGGACGGGUGAGUAACACGUGGGCAACCUACCUGUAAGACUGGGAUAACUUCGGGAAACCGGAGCUAAUACCGGAUAAUUCUUCUUUACACAUGUAGAGAAGCUAAAAGGCGGCUUCGGCUGUCACUUACAGAUGGGCCCGCGGCGCAUUAGCUAGUUGGUGAGGUAACGGCUCGCCAAGGCAACGAUGCGUAGCCGACCUGAGAGGGUGAUCGGCCACACUGGGACUGAGACACGGCCCAGACUCCUACGGGAGGCAGCAGUGGG
This 301-nucleotide small RNA is filed under the name uncultured bacterium. RNAcentral's name for it is "bacterial SSU rRNA". It matches the Rfam family "Bacterial small subunit ribosomal RNA", at positions 67 to 358 of the family's 1533-position model. The record is from RNAcentral.